Molecule: ribosomal RNA, 468 nt
Filed under: uncultured bacterium
Lineage: Bacteria
Description: partial 16S ribosomal RNA
Rfam family: Bacterial small subunit ribosomal RNA
Source: RNAcentral
GACGAACGCUGGCGGCGUGCUUAACACAUGCAAGUCGAACGGACAGGCCAUGCUCUUGUGGGGUGCUCGAGUGGCGAACGGGUGAGUAACACGUGAGUAACCUGCCCCUGACUUUCGGAUAACUUCAGGAAACUGGGGCUCAUACCGGAUAGGAGCUACUGCUGCAUGGUGGGGGUUGGAAAGUUUCGGCGGUUGGGGAUGGACUCGCGGCUUAUCCGCUUGUUGGUGGGGUAGUGGCUUACCAAGUCUUUGACGGAUAGCCGGCCUGGGAGUGUGACCGGCGACAUGGGUACUGAGGUACGGCCCAGACGCCUACGUGAGGCAGCAGGGGGGAAUAUGGCGCAGUGGGCGGAAGCCUGAGGCAGCAGCGCCGCGUGCGGGAUGACGGCCUUCUGGUGAUAAACCGCUGUCGCCGGAGACGAAGCGGUAGUGACGGUAAUGGGUAAAGAAGCACCGGCUAACUACGUG